AUUAUAUCUCUAAAAUAUGGAUUCCAUUUUAUUUUCAGAAUUGAAAUGAUCAACUUGACAGGUGACAAACCUAUGUAUUGUCGAGACCAAAAACAUCAUCACGGUAUACUUUCCAUUUCAAGAGGUGCUGGGGCUUGAAUCCUGGAAAAGAUUAAACAUUUCUAAUACCAGAUUUCUACCUCCCUGGACUAUUGUGAAGAUACUUUGAAGAGUCAUAUGAUUUAGCUCUUCAAGAUCCUCAAGGGAAAAGCUAUUACAUAAUCUGUGAUGGCCAAUCUAUAUUUCUAGAUUCAUUGCCCCAGAUGAUGAUAUAUUGGAUCUGAUAUUAAACACUAUGGUCUCCUGGAAUCCUUGAGAUUUUUUUCCAAAACACAGCAUCUAUAAAAGAUUGCCAAGAAAAUCUGUUGCCUGAAUCUGCAACUUCAAGGACAGAGGGGAGGCACUUCAGUCUCCAGGCGAUCCUGGAGGGAAGACAAAGAAUGGCAAUAAUGCCGAGUGGAAUCAGCAUGAAUUAGGAAAGGACAAAGAGACAAGCACAGGGAGGAUGGUUCAGAAAGAGAACAAGAGAAAUAUUAACUAUGAUACAAAGAGUCCUGCAGCAUGGCCUAGAGCAGGCAGAGCAGAGAAAAUUGAAGAAUCCUUG
This 643-nucleotide long non-coding RNA is filed under the name Ornithorhynchus anatinus (platypus). RNAcentral's name for it is "lncRNA (ENSOANG00000049932.1)". Lineage: Eukaryota; Metazoa; Chordata; Mammalia; Monotremata; Ornithorhynchidae. The record is from RNAcentral.